Molecule: ribosomal RNA, 460 nt
Filed under: uncultured bacterium
Lineage: Bacteria
Description: partial 16S ribosomal RNA
Rfam family: Bacterial small subunit ribosomal RNA
Source: RNAcentral
CCUACGGGAGGCUGCAGUGAGGAAUAUUGGUCAAUGGUCGCAAGUCUGACCCAGCCAAGCCGCGUGAAGGAAGAAGGUUCUCAGAAUCGUAAACCUCUUUUGUCCGGGGGCAAAAACUGAUACGCGUCUCCGUAUGAGCGUAGCUUAAGAACAAGCAUCGGCUAACUCCGUGCCAGCAGCCGCGGUUAUACGGAGGAUUCAAGCGUUAUCCGGGUUUAAUGGGUUUAAAGGGUGCGCAGGCGGGCAGUUAAGUUAGCGGUGAAAUCCCGGGGCUCAACCUCGGGCCCGCCUUUGAAACGGGUUGUCUUGAGUGGGCGAGAGGUAUGCGGAAUGCGUGGUGUAGCGGUGAAAUGCGUAGAUAUCAGGCAGAACACCGAUUGCGAAGGCAGCAUACCGGAGCACAACUGACGCUGAGGCACGAAAGCGUGGGGAGCGAACAGGAUUAGAUACCCCAGUAGUA